UUUUGGGCGUAUAACCAGUUUGUAGGUCCUACUAUUUGAUCUGUGGACGUGACCAAUGAGGGCAUGGAGAUUAUGGCGAGGCAUGGUGAUGCAGUGGCAGUGGUGAAGGUAACCACAUCGAAGGCAGCGGCAAUGGGUGGUUGUCGAUGAAAGCAGCAUGGGGAUGGGGGAGGUGGAGAGGCGAGGGAUGGAGGCGGAGGACGGCAGCCAGGGAGACGGAGUGGCAGUGAGAUUGGACGAGCUCGCCUGCGGAGUGCGUGGGCAAGAUUUCCUUUCCGGGUUGGACGAGGGCUUCUUUGUUUGUGUGUGUGUGCAUGUAAGUUGAUGCUCCAUCUUGUUAUUCAUUUCCUGGGAUCAUUUCUCGAGGAAUGUACGGAUUUCUCGAAGUGACGCAAUGCUAUGAUCUUCAACCAUGAAAAUGAAACUGUCAGCGCUGAUGGCCUGCUCCUGUGAUCUCAUAGCAUUGUGUCAAGGAGCAGGUGGAGAGGGAGAAAGAGAAAGGGAGAAUGGAAGCCAAGUGAUAGACAAAGAGAGUGAAA
Triticum aestivum (bread wheat) is the source of this 539-nucleotide long non-coding RNA. RefSeq lists it as uncharacterized. The transcript has 3 exons. The record is from RefSeq and is a predicted model, not a curated record. NCBI's taxonomy places the organism in Eukaryota, Viridiplantae, Streptophyta, Magnoliopsida, Poales, Poaceae.